RNAcentral lists this ribosomal RNA (426 nucleotides) under uncultured bacterium. RNAcentral's name for it is "partial 16S ribosomal RNA". It matches the Rfam family "Bacterial small subunit ribosomal RNA", at positions 354 to 796 of the family's 1533-position model. The record is from RNAcentral.
GUGAGGAAUUUUCCGCAAUGGGCGAAAGCCUGACGGAGCAAUGCCGCGUGAAGGAUGAAGGCCUAUGGGUUGUAAACUUCUUUUCUCAGAAAAGAAUUAUGACGGUAUCUGAGGAAUAAGCAUCGGCUAACUCUGUGCCAGCAGCCGCGGUAAGACAGAGGAUGCAAGCGUUAUCCGGAAUGAUUGGGCGUAAAGCGUCUGUAGGUUGUUUAAAAAGUAUUCUGUCAAAGAUUAGGGCUUAACCCUAGAUAGGCAGAAUAAACUUUUAAGCUAGAGUUUGGUAGAGGCAGAGGGAAUUCCCGGUGAAGCGGUGAAAUGCGGAGAUAUCGGGAGGAACACCAAAGGCGAAGGCACUCUGCUGGGCCAAUACUAACACUGAGAGACGAAAGCGAGGGGAGCAAAUGGGAUUAGAUACCCGUGUAGUCC